Non-coding RNA from Poeciliopsis prolifica (blackstripe livebearer), 917 nucleotides. NCBI's taxonomy places the organism in Eukaryota, Metazoa, Chordata, Actinopteri, Cyprinodontiformes, Poeciliidae. The record is from the annotation of a RefSeq genome assembly.
AAACUCUCAAAAGAUGAACUUUGGACCUGGAACCAGUUUAACCAUCGAAACCAAGGAUGAAGUUGAACCGGAUUUUUACGAUCUGGGUCCGAUUGACGACGGCGGCACCACAGUUUGUCUGGCGACUGGAUUUACUCGACUCAAUGCAACAAUGAAUGAAACUGCCUUUCAGAACAAUUCGCAGAGUCCGAUUAGAGACGCUGAUGGGAAACCGACAGGCGCCUUCAGCCAGGUGGCCUUUCUGACCGCAGGAGAGACAUGUGGAGGGAACAGCACAGAACCGGUCCAAUGUGACGCCAACCUGGAACCAGAUGAAAUGGUGAAUCUGGCCUCCAUCACCAUCUUCGGCCUGAGAGUCAUUUUCAUGAAGACGGUGGCUUUCAACGUCCUGAUGACGCUGCGGCUGUGGAUGAGUCAGUGAUUUAUUGAGGUCAAAGGAAAAGUCCUGGACCGACCCGAUUCGGACCGACCCGAUCUGAUCCGGACCGGACCGACCCGAUCCGGACCGACCCGAUUCGGACCGACCCGAUCUGAUCCGGACCGGACCGACCCGAUCCGGACCGACCCGAUUCGGACCGACCCGAUCUGAUCCGAUCCGGACCGACCCGAUCCGGACCGACCCGAUUCGGACCGACCCGAUCUGAUCCGGACCGGACCGACCCGAUCCGGACCGACCCGAUUCGGACCGACCCGAUCUGAUCCGGACCGGACCGACCCGAUCCGGACCGACCCGAUCCGGAUCUGAUCCGGAUCUGUAGAUAAACCUCCUGUUAAAAAACGAAACGGAGUGAAUAUAAAGUUAUAAAGAUGAUUGUCUUGUGUUUUGUUUGAUGUUUGUGUAAAUAUUAGUUUCAUCAAAGACAAAAAUAUGUAGAUUUAUGACUCUGUGGAACUUCAAAAUAAAAGCCCAAAAUGAA